RNAcentral lists this RNase P RNA (313 nucleotides) under Flavobacteriaceae bacterium. RNAcentral's name for it is "RNase P RNA component class A". It matches the Rfam family "Bacterial RNase P class A". From Rfam's summary of the family: Ribonuclease P (RNase P) is a ubiquitous endoribonuclease, found in archaea, bacteria and eukarya as well as chloroplasts and mitochondria. RNAcentral also lists the same sequence under 1 other name. The record is from RNAcentral. Lineage: Bacteria; Pseudomonadati; Bacteroidota; Flavobacteriia; Flavobacteriales; Flavobacteriaceae.
CAAGUCGGUCACCUUAUCGCCGUCCGGUUUGUUCCGGAGGGAGGAAAGUCCGAACACCAUAGCGCAUCAUAGUGGUUAACAGCCACCGGUCGUGAGAUCAGGAAAAGUGCAACAGAAAGUAUGUACAGGUCAUGCUGUAGUGAAAUCAGGUAAACUCUAUGUGGUGCAAUGUCAUGUAUACCAGUGUUUGAGCCUGACGCGGGCGAUGCUGGCGGGUAGACAGCUAAAGUGUAUUGGUAACAGUACACGAAGACAAAUGAUAAGGGCCCGGGAAUCCGGGUUACAGAAUUCGGCUUAUAGACCGACUUAACUU